GAUGAACGCUGACAGCAUGCUUAACACAUGCAAGUCGUUGGCGAAGCUGCGCUUGCGCAGUCUAGCCAGGGCGGACGGGUCAGUAACGUGUCAGGAACUUGCCCUGCAGACAGGGAUAACAGACGGAAACGACUGAUAACACCUGGCAUUGUCAGGCUGGCGCAUGCCGGCCUGAUGAAAGGAGACGCUGCAGGAGAGCCUUGCGUCCUAUUAGCUAGUGGGAGGGGUUACGGGCCACCAAGGCGAUGAUAGGUAGCCGGCCUGAGAGGGUGAACGGCCACAAGGGGACUGAGAUACGGCCCUUACGCCUACGGGAGGCAGCAGUGGGGAAUAUUGGACAAUGGGGGCAACCCUGAUCCAGCAAUUCUGUGUGCACGAAGAAGGUUUUCGGAAUGAAAAGUGCUGUCAGCAGGGAAGAAGAAAGUGACGGUACCUGCAGAGGAAGCGACGGCUAAAUACGUG
RNAcentral lists this ribosomal RNA (462 nucleotides) under uncultured bacterium. RNAcentral's name for it is "partial 16S ribosomal RNA". It matches the Rfam family "Bacterial small subunit ribosomal RNA", at positions 28 to 507 of the family's 1533-position model. The record is from RNAcentral.